GCGGUUCGCCGCCGACGACGUCGUGAGAAGUCCACUGAACCUUAUCAUUUAGAGGAAGGAGAAGUCG
RNAcentral lists this ribosomal RNA (67 nucleotides) under Combretum wattii. Its description in RNAcentral is "partial 18S ribosomal RNA". Lineage: Eukaryota; Viridiplantae; Streptophyta; Magnoliopsida; Myrtales; Combretaceae. The record is from RNAcentral.